GACGAACGCUGGCGGCGUGCUUAACACAUGCAAGUCGAACGGAAAGGCCCUGCUUUUGUGGGGUGCUCGAGUGGCGAACGGGUGAGUAACACGUGAGUAACCUGCCCUUGACUUUGGGAUAACUUCAGGAAACUGGGGCUAAUACCGGAUAGGAGCUCCUGCUGCAUGGUGGGGGUUGGAAAGUUUCGGCGGUUGGGGAUGGACUCGCGGCUUAUCAGCUUGUUGGUGGGGUAGUGGCUUACCAAGGCUUUGACGGGUAGCUGGCCUGAGAGGGUGACCGGCCACAUUGGGGCUGAGAUACGGCCCAGACUCCUACGGGAGGCAGCAGUGGGGAAUAUUGCACAAUGGGCGGAAGCCUGAUGCAGCAACGCCGCGUGCGGGAUGACGGCCUUCGGGUUGUAAACCGCUUUCGCCUGUGACGAAGCGUGAGUGACGGUAAUGGGUAAAGAAGCACCGGCUAACUACGUG
This 468-nucleotide ribosomal RNA is filed under the name uncultured bacterium. Its description in RNAcentral is "partial 16S ribosomal RNA". It matches the Rfam family "Bacterial small subunit ribosomal RNA", at positions 28 to 507 of the family's 1533-position model. The record is from RNAcentral.